RNAcentral lists this long non-coding RNA (571 nucleotides) under Heterocephalus glaber (naked mole-rat). Its description in RNAcentral is "lncRNA (ENSHGLG00000045965.1)". The record is from RNAcentral. Lineage: Eukaryota; Metazoa; Chordata; Mammalia; Rodentia; Bathyergidae.
CCGCCCUGGUCCCAGAAGCGCCCCUGCCCGCGGGCGUGGGCAGCCCCAUGAGCCGGGGCGCUUGGUCGGGUCAUCCGCAGAGGCCGGGCGCGUGCAGCAGGACGGGCGGCUGAGCUACGCCGACCCCGUGUGGUUCCUCAUCUCCGAGGGAGGACAAGACGACGCCCACCAGAGCUGCCGGCUGGACGCCAUGGGCAUUCGGCCGCUGCCCUUCGAGGACUGCGUGUGCCAGGAUGGCGACGGCCAGGGCCCCGAGCUCUCCGACUGGGAGCGGUUCGCCGCCGAGGAGUACGAGCGUCCUGGUGGCCGAGGAGGGCGGCGGCGACGCGUGGGAGGACGGGUCCGAGGAGGCGGCGCUGAGCCCCGUGGAGGCGGAGCAGAGGCCGCUGUUCGGGGCGGGACCGGCCUGGGCGCCCUGCGCCUGUGGGAGCUGCCGUGCGCGGAGGCCGAGCUGCAGCCGCUGUGACACUGCCCGCCCGCCCUGGCCCGCACCCAUGGUCACGGGGCGCGGCGGGGACCGCCUGGGCGUGGCGGCGGGCGGCUCGACGUUUGUGUUGAGAAUAAAGAGUUG